AUACGGAGGACGCGAGCGUUAUCCGGAUUCAUUGGGUUUAAAGGGUGCGCAGGCGGCCGUGCAAGUCAGCGGUGAAAGCCCGGGGCUCAACCCCGGAAGUGCCGUUGAUACUGCAUGGCUGGAAUGCGGUCGAGGCGGGCGGGACGUGGGGUGUAGCGGGGAAAAGCGUAGAUAUGCCACAGAAAGCCGAUAGCGGAGGCAGCUCGCCAGGCCUGCAUUGACGCUCGGGCACGAAAGCGUGGGGAUCGAACAGGAUUAGAUACCCUGGUAGUCCACGCCGUAAACGAUGGGCGCUCGUCGUCGGCGGCAGACAGUCGGCGGCCAAGCGAAAGCGAUAAGCGCCCCACCUGGGGAGUACGGUCGCAAGGCUGAAACUCAAAUGAAUUGACGGGG
Molecule: ribosomal RNA, 393 nt
Filed under: uncultured bacterium
Lineage: Bacteria
Description: partial 16S ribosomal RNA
Rfam family: Bacterial small subunit ribosomal RNA
Source: RNAcentral